Molecule: transfer RNA, 72 nt
Filed under: Camelus dromedarius (Arabian camel)
Lineage: Eukaryota; Metazoa; Chordata; Mammalia; Artiodactyla; Camelidae
Also listed under: 1 other name
Rfam family: tRNA
About the family: Transfer RNA (tRNA) molecules are approximately 80 nucleotides in length. Their secondary structure includes four short double-helical elements and three loops (D, anti-codon, and T loops).
Source: Rfam by way of RNAcentral
GAGGGUAUAGCUCAGUGGUAGAGCGCUUGCUUAGCACGCACAAGGUCCUGGAUUCAAUCCCUGGUAUCUGCA